Molecule: ribosomal RNA, 586 nt
Filed under: uncultured bacterium
Lineage: Bacteria
Description: partial 16S ribosomal RNA
Rfam family: Bacterial small subunit ribosomal RNA
Source: RNAcentral
UGGGGAAUUUUGGACAAUGGGGGAAACCCUGAUCCAGCCAUCCCGCGUGUGCGAUGAAGGCCUUCGGGUUGUAAAGCACUUUUGGCAGGAAAGAAACGUCGCGGGUUAAUACCCCGCGAAACUGACGGUACCUGCAGAAUAAGCACCGGCUAACUACGUGCCAGCAGCCGCGGUAAUACGUAGGGUGCAAGCGUUAAUCGGAAUUACUGGGCGUAAAGCGUGCGCAGGCGGUUCGGAAAGAAAGAUGUGAAAUCCCAGAGCUUAACUUUGGAACUGCAUUUUUAACUACCGGGCUAGAGUGUGUCAGAGGGAGGUGGAAUUCCGCGUGUAGCAGUGAAAUGCGUAGAUAUGCGGAGGAACACCGAUGGCGAAGGCAGCCUCCUGGGAUAACACUGACGCUCAUGCACGAAAGCGUGGGGAGCAAACAGGAUUAGAUACCCUGGUAGUCCACGCCCUAAACGAUGUCAACUAGCUGUUGGGGCCUUCGGGCCUUAGUAGCGCAGCUAACGCGUGAAGUUGACCGCCUGGGGAGUACGGUCGCAAGAUUAAAAACUCAAAGGAAUUGACGGGGUCAUAGCUGUUUCCU